UGCCAGACUCCUACGGGAGGCAGCAGUGGGGAAUAUUGCACAGUGGGGGAAACCCUGAUGCAGCGACGCCGCGUGAGUGAAGAAGUAUUUCGGUAUGUAAAGCUCUCUCAGCAGGGAAGAUAAUGACGGUACCUGACUAAGAAGCCCCGGCUAACUACGUGCCAGCAGCCGCGGUAAUACGUAGGGGGCAAGCGUUAUCCGGAUUUACUGGGUGUAAAGGGUGCGUAGGUGGCAUGGCAAGUCAGAAGUGAAAGCCCGGGGCUCAACCCCGCGGACUGCUUUUGAAACUGUCAGGCUGGAGUACAGGAGAGGUAAGCGGAAUUCCUAGUGUAGCGGUGAAAUGCGUAGAUAUUAGGAGGAACACCAGUGGCGAAGGCGGCUUACUGGACUGUAACUGACACUGAGGCACGAAAGCGUGGGGAGCAAACAGGAUUAGAUACCCGUGUAUC
Molecule: ribosomal RNA, 449 nt
Filed under: uncultured bacterium
Lineage: Bacteria
Description: bacterial SSU rRNA
Rfam family: Bacterial small subunit ribosomal RNA
Source: RNAcentral